RNAcentral lists this ribosomal RNA (561 nucleotides) under uncultured bacterium. RNAcentral's name for it is "bacterial SSU rRNA". It matches the Rfam family "Bacterial small subunit ribosomal RNA", at positions 338 to 916 of the family's 1533-position model. The record is from RNAcentral.
CCUACGGGAGGCAGCAGUAGGGAAUCUUGUGCAAUGGGCGAAAGCCUGGCACAGCAACUCCGCGUGCGGGAAGAAGGCCUUAGGGUUGUAAACCGCUUUUGGCAGGAACGAAAAUGACGGUACCUGCAGAAUAAGGUGCGGCCAACUACGUGCCAGCAGCCGCGGUGACACGUAGGCACCAAGCGUUGUCCGGAUUUAUUGGGCGUAAAGAGCUCGUAGGCGGUUCAGUUAGUCGGGUGUGAAAACUCUGGGCUUAACCCGGAGACGCCACUCGAUACUGCUGGGCUAGAAUUCGGUAGGGGAGUGGGGAAUUCCUGGUGUAGCGGUGAAAUGCGCAGAUAUCAGGAGGAACACCGGUGGCGAAGGCGCCACUCUGGGCCGACAUUGACGCUGAGGAGCGAAAGCGUGGGUAGCAAACAGGAUUAGAUACCCUGGUAGUCCACGCCGUAAACGGUGGGCACUAGGUGUGGGUUCCAACCAACGGAAUCCGUGCCGUCGCAAACGCAUAAGUGCCCGCCUGGGGAGUACGGCCGCAAGGUUAAAACUCGAAAGGAUUGACGG